This 315-nucleotide unclassified non-coding RNA is filed under the name plant metagenome. RNAcentral's name for it is "partial contains 5.8S ribosomal RNA, internal transcribed spacer 2, and large subunit ribosomal RNA". The stretch from base 1 to 105 matches the Rfam family "5.8S ribosomal RNA", at positions 50 to 154 of the family's 154-position model. The record is from RNAcentral.
GAAAUGCGAUAAGUAAUGUGAAUUGCAGAAUUCAGUGAAUCAUCGAGUCUUUGAACGCACAUUGCGCCCCCUGGCAUUCCGGGGGGCAUGCCUGUCCGAGCGUCAUUGCUGCCCUUCAAGCCCGGCUUGUGUGUUGGGUCAUCGUCCCCUCCGGGGGACGGGCCCGAAAGGCAGCGGCGGCACCGCGUCCGGUCCUCGAGCGUAUGGGGCUUUGUCACCCGCUCGAUAAGGACCGGCCGGGCGCCAGCCGGCGUCUCCAACCUUUUUUUCUCAGGUUGACCUCGGAUCAGGUAGGGAUACCCGCUGAACUUAAGC